This 72-nucleotide transfer RNA is filed under the name Urocitellus parryii (Arctic ground squirrel). RNAcentral's name for it is "Spermophilus parryii (Arctic ground squirrel) tRNA". It matches the Rfam family "tRNA". Rfam says of the family: Transfer RNA (tRNA) molecules are approximately 80 nucleotides in length. Their secondary structure includes four short double-helical elements and three loops (D, anti-codon, and T loops). RNAcentral also lists the same sequence under 1 other name. The record is from Rfam by way of RNAcentral. Lineage: Eukaryota; Metazoa; Chordata; Mammalia; Rodentia; Sciuridae.
UGGGCUGUGGCUCAGUGGUAGAGCACUUGCCUAGCAUGUGUGAGGCUCUGACUUUGAUUCUCAGCACCACAU